RNAcentral lists this unclassified non-coding RNA (1032 nucleotides) under Bactrocera latifrons. RNAcentral describes it as "uncharacterized LOC108971839, transcript variant X1". The record is from RNAcentral. Lineage: Eukaryota; Metazoa; Arthropoda; Insecta; Diptera; Tephritidae.
UUUAGAAGACGAUGCAGUAUCAGAGAGGCGAUUUCAACAAAUGAUCAAUAAUAAUUUCAUUCGAAUAUCUUAAAACCUGACGAAUCUUAUGAUCCCCAAAAAACUUCGUCUUAAAAAUCGUUGGCUCGAAACCGUUUUUUUUACCCAAAGCUACUUUGAAAAAGUUAUUUGGAAUGAUCUGUAGAACAUUUNUCGCAAAUGCAAUAUUUUCGCUUUUUGGCCCCCAGUAAAUCGACCCGCUCUACAAUGUGUAUACUAAAAUUCCUGCUUUCAACAUCUUUUGAUCGACACCAAUACCAUAGAGUUUUAUACAAAUAUCAUAUAGUAUGUAAUCGAACAACCUGUUGUUUGUAUGUAUUUUCUUUGAUAACAGUUUUUAGCCUUCAGAUGAAUGAUAAGUUCAAUAUUUAUACAGUUGAAAGUAGAAUAUUUAAACGUCAACCGAUUUUCGCAACGCACAACUUCANUUAGGAAUUUACGUAGUCUGCCAUGUACAUAUAUACAUACAUACAUACUCUCAUCUGCUAUGUACUUCAUGUUAAUGCAAAUUGUGUAUGUUCACUUCGGUUAUCUGCGCUGACGCCAAGUCAAGUGGAAUUAGUUAUGUUAUUGUUGUGACACUGGCCUUUUGUGUAUCAAUUCGCGUGGCAUAAUGAAAAAGUCAAACAGAUAAUUUACUGUUUACUUUUCGGGCCGCAACUGCGCACUGAACUUUUAUUUAAUAAAAUACUUUUAUUUUAUUGAUGAAAAUAUGGCUGCCAUAAAUGAAUGGUUUUUGUUGCGCCAUUUCCGUUAUUGUUGUUUGGUAAAUUCAAAUACGAAAAUAUACUGUUAAGAUACGAAUUUGUUCAUAAAUUGAGGGAGUUCAGUUUGAUACGUAGCUGCGGAAAAUCCAGUCACAAACCAGAGACCACAAGGCAUUAUCGCUUAAGAGUGACCGUGAAAUUAAAUAUAAAGUUCGGAUACUUGAUGUUGUUCAAGUAGCUAUAAAAUCAAAAACGCGUUUUGAAAAGGCUGCUCGUUCUCUCCUGA